UACAGAGGAUGCAAGCGUUAUCCGGAAUGAUUGGGCGUAAAGCGUCUGUAGGUGGCUUUUUAAGUCCGCCGUCAAAUCCCAGGGCUCAACUCUGGACAGGCGGUGGAAACUACCAAGCUGGAGUACGGUAGGGGCAGAGGGAAUUUCCGGUGGAGCGGUGAAAUGCGUAGAGAUCGGAAGGAACACCAGUGGCGAAGGCGACUGUCUGGCCAGAUACUGACGCUGAGGCGCGAAAGCGUGGGGAGCAAACAGG
RNAcentral lists this ribosomal RNA (253 nucleotides) under uncultured bacterium. RNAcentral describes it as "partial 16S ribosomal RNA". It matches the Rfam family "Bacterial small subunit ribosomal RNA", at positions 524 to 776 of the family's 1533-position model. The record is from RNAcentral.